Molecule: ribosomal RNA, 464 nt
Filed under: Vreelandella stevensii
Lineage: Bacteria; Pseudomonadati; Pseudomonadota; Gammaproteobacteria; Oceanospirillales; Halomonadaceae
Description: partial 16S ribosomal RNA
Rfam family: Bacterial small subunit ribosomal RNA
Source: RNAcentral
CCUACGGGUGGCAGCAGUGGGGAAUAUUGGACAAUGGGCGAAAGCCUGAUCCAGCCAUGCCGCGUGUGUGAAGAAGGCCUUCGGGUUGUAAAGCACUUUCAGUGGGGAAGAAAGCCUUGGGGCUAAUACCCUCGAGGUAGGACAUCACCCACAGAAGAAGCACCGGCUAACUCCGUGCCAGCAGCCGCGGUAAUACGGAGGGUGCGAGCGUUAAUCGGAAUUACUGGGCGUAAAGCGCGCGUAGGCGGUCUGAUAAGCCGGUUGUGAAAGCCCCGGGCUCAACCUGGGAACGGCAUCCGGAACUGACAGGCUAGAGUGCAGGAGAGGAAGGUAGAAUUCCCGGUGUAGCGGUGAAAUGCGUAGAGAUCGGGAGGAAUACCAGUGGCGAAGGCGGCCUUCUGGACUGACACUGACGCUGAGGUGCGAAAGCGUGGGUAGCAAACAGGAUUAGAUACCCUUGAGUC